UCGGACUGGAAGGAUGUCACUAACUCCUGGAAGUUCAGCCUGCCUUCUUUUUCUUCUUCUUUCUUUUUCUUUUUCUUUUUCUUUUUCUUUUUCUUUUUCUUUUUCUUUUUCUUUUUCUUUUUCUUUUUCUUUUUCUUUUUCUUUUUCUUUUNUUUUCUUUUUCUUUUUCUUUUUCUUUUUCUUUUUCUUUUUCUUUUUCUUUUUCUUUUUCUUUUUCUUUUUCUUUUUCUUUUUCUUUUUCUUUUUCCUUUUUUUUUCCUCUUUUUCUUUUUUUCCCUCCUUUUUUCUUUAUUUUUUUUUUUAACUGAAAGUUUUUAUUAAAUACCUUUAGUGUGCUGAUAUAAUUCAGUUUUUUCUCACAUAGAGAUAUUAAGAUCCAUGUUGAGCCAGCUGGGGCCAAAGCCUGAAGUGUGGAGCCUCUGCUACUAUAGUCCAAUUCAGCACUUCUCAGUUUCUGUCUUCUAUUUCUCACAAACGCUGUGAAGAAAAUGAAGUCUAAGCUGUGUGUUCUGCACGUUUGCCAUUGCAACUCAAGGAGACAGAGCUCAGAUGAAGUUCCAACAAGGCCCAAAGUUUGCCCUACCCACAGCACUGAAGAUUGCUGCACAGCCCCAUCUUUGUGCAUGGGAGAAGCAAAGCAAAUGAGGAGGGAGUGUGCUCCGAGCUGCCUGGGGCUGACAACCAAAAGGUGCAAGAUGGGACAAAGCAGAGCACAGAGGGUGAAUGGAAACAUUAACACUUGUAAGCUAACAGAUGUGCAGGAAUGUCCUCGGCUCGCCAUCGCUUUUCUCUCCAGCAGAAUAUGACUGACAACAGAACACCAGGGAACAGCUGGGUCGAAACGCAUAAUAUUUUCCUGCUAGAGAAAGACGCUGAUUAGGCUGUGGAGUACCUAAUUGGGUAAGAUGCCCCUCAUUUCCAAACUAUAAAAUUCAGAUAGUGUAGAGCAGCAAAGGGUGGACGAGCUGGCAAGAGCUGUAUGUUUGUCCUGCAGCACAACUGGACCUUUAAAUUGAGCGCUGCCUUUACAGUUGUGUGGGAACAUGCAGUGCUGUGCACUGUGCAGAGCCAGGAUCUUGGGGAGGGACGGCAAUAGCACUGAGCAUCCUCUUCUCUCUUCCAAAGCUUGCGUGGGUACAGGGGCAGAUUUCCCCAUGAGGUUCCAUUUUAUUUCAAGGAAAAAUAAAGGAAAAUGGAAACAAA
RNAcentral lists this long non-coding RNA (1203 nucleotides) under Coturnix japonica (Japanese quail). Its description in RNAcentral is "lncRNA (ENSCJPG00005001307.1)". The record is from RNAcentral. Lineage: Eukaryota; Metazoa; Chordata; Aves; Galliformes; Phasianidae.